Scylla paramamosain (green mud crab) is the source of this 506-nucleotide long non-coding RNA. RefSeq lists it as uncharacterized. The record is from RefSeq and is a predicted model, not a curated record. The transcript is spliced from 3 exons. Lineage: Eukaryota; Metazoa; Arthropoda; Malacostraca; Decapoda; Portunidae.
UCCCUAUGCUAUUUUCCUUGUAGCCUAUAGCAGGGUGUUAACAUGAUGAGUCCAGGCACCUACUGGUCGUCAGUAACUAUCCAACGUCAACCUGUUUAACCCACCAGCAGAUACAGCCCCUCUUACAACUGCCACUGACUUGGGUCAGCUUAUCCCUAGGCUAUGUUCCUUGUAGCCUAUAGCAGGGUGUAAACACGAUGAAUCCAGGCACCUAUUGGUCGUCAACAACUAUCCAACGUCAGCCUGUUUAACAAACCAGCAGGAAAGAAAGUAAUACAAUAGCCAAUAAACUCACAGGCCGGGAAAGAACAGUAAACUACGUGCUAGAGGAGUCACAGCCAGGACCAAAGGACAGCCAGGACCAUACACAGCAUUCACCAGCGAUGGACGGAUUACACGGUCGCCGAGUUGGAUCAUAUCAUAAGAGAGCUACUAGCUUAACUGUCCAGGAAAUCAUCGCACAAUUGGAAAAAGAUCCGCCUAAUCAUCCUACUGAUGUUUUCCUC